This 445-nucleotide ribosomal RNA is filed under the name Dendronotus patricki. Its description in RNAcentral is "partial 16S ribosomal RNA". It matches the Rfam family "Bacterial large subunit ribosomal RNA", at positions 1829 to 2600 of the family's 2925-position model. The record is from RNAcentral. Lineage: Eukaryota; Metazoa; Mollusca; Gastropoda; Nudibranchia; Dendronotidae.
AGCCACAAGUUAAUAUUUGUGGUUUAACCUGCCCAAUGUGAAUUUAAAAAGAUGAAUGGCCGCGGUACCCUGACCGUGCUAAGGUAGCGUAAUCAAUUGGCUUUUAAAUGGAGUCAGGAAUGAAUGGAAUAACCGGGUUUAGCUGUCUCCUUUCUAAUCAAUUGAAUUUACUGUUCAAGUGAAAAAGCUUGUAGUAAGAAAAGGGACGAGAAGACCCUUAGAAUUUUUUUUAGUGGGAAAAUUUUUUCCUAAUGAUUUUGUUGGGGCGACACGGAAAUAUAUAAAAACUUUCCUUUAAGACUUGCCGAUUUUGUUAAGUUAGGAUAAAUUACCUGAGGGAUAACAGCAUAAUUCUACAGAUGAGUUUGUGACCUCGAUGUUGGACUAGGGAACUAGCAAGCUAGCCGUUUGCUGUGUGGGUUCUGUUCGAACUGUAAUCCCUACG